This 211-nucleotide ribosomal RNA is filed under the name uncultured Smithella sp. Its description in RNAcentral is "partial 16S ribosomal RNA". It matches the Rfam family "Bacterial small subunit ribosomal RNA", at positions 1171 to 1382 of the family's 1533-position model. Lineage: Bacteria; Pseudomonadati; Thermodesulfobacteriota; Syntrophia; Syntrophales; Smithellaceae. The record is from RNAcentral.
AAGUGGGAUGACGUCAAGUCCUCAUGGCCUUUAUGUCUAGGGCUACACACGUGCUACAAUGGGUGGUACAAAGAGCAGCUAACUCGCGAGAGUAUGCAAAUCUCAAAAAGCCAUCCUCAGUUCGGAUUGGAGUCUGCAACUCGACUCCAUGAAGUUGGAAUCGCUAGUAAUCGCGGAUCAGCAUGCCGCGGUGAAUACGUUCCCGGGCCUU